AGCGAACGCUGGCGGCAGGCUUAACACAUGCAAGUCGAACGCCCCGCAAGGGGAGUGGCAGACGGGUGAGUAACACGUGGGAACGUACCCUUUGGUUCGGACUAACUUGGGGAAACUCACGCUAAUACCGGAUAAGCCCUUGUGGGGAAAGGUUUACUGCCGAAGGAUCGGCCAGCGUCUGAUUAGCUAGUUGGUGAGGUAAUAGCGCACCAAGGCGACGAUCAGUAGCUGGUCUGAGAGGAUGAUCAGCCACACUGGGACUGAGACACGGCCCAGACUCCUACGGGAGGCAGCAGUGGGGAAUAUUGGACAAUGGGUGCAACCCUGAUCCAGCCAUGCCGCGUGAGUGAUGAAGGCCUUAGGGUUGUAAAGCUCUUUUACCCGGGACGAUAAUGACUGUACCGGGAGAAUAAGCCCCGGCUAACUUCGUGCCAGCAGCCGCAGUAA
This 447-nucleotide ribosomal RNA is filed under the name uncultured bacterium. RNAcentral describes it as "partial 16S ribosomal RNA". It matches the Rfam family "Bacterial small subunit ribosomal RNA", at positions 29 to 523 of the family's 1533-position model. The record is from RNAcentral.